AGUCAUAUGCCUAUCCAUAAAUGGGAUGCUGAGAGUUGCUGCACUCUGUGGGUCCUUUUUUGUUUUCAUCAGCGAGUGACUCCCAAGCGUGUUACGGCUGACCCACCUCUGCUUUCAACUCGUGUAAUCUCUUGGGGUCAUUAAAAGUGAUCAACUAUGGCUGCAACAGUUGCCAGACACAAGCACGUGCACGUCAGCCACGACUGCCACAGUGCACAGUCUAAGGUUGUCGCAAAGCAGUAUACAAGCUCUGAGGUUGUGGAGGACGAUUAUCAUCACAAACAAGAAACAAGAAUCCAGGGAGUGGUACGGAAGAAGAUGGUUGAGAAGUAUGUUCGUGAGGAGUCUAUGAUAAGGGGUCCUCAAUUCCUGACCACACUCCGAUCCCAUACCGUUUGGGAGCACACUCCUGUGAAACUAUACUGUACGGUCGAGGGUUACCCUACCCCACUUGUGAAAUGGUAUAAAGAUGGUGUCAGCAUUGACAUGUCAUCAAUUAAAUACAAUGUGCAGGACAAUGUUGGAAUUCAUACCCUGGAGAUUGCCAAGUGUGAAACUGAUGACACUGCGCAGUACACUGCUGUGGCUGGUAACAUUCAUGGACAGGUCUCUACUCAGGCCUCUAUCAUUGUCAAGAGAAUCAGAGAAGAAGGACAUUCAUCUUCCUAUGCAUUGCUUCCUUACACAAUUCCCAUGUUGCCGGAAAUCAAAUACACCAAGAUCAACAUCACCUUCCUGGAGACUUUUGGCUCGGUCUUUGGAACAGAGGGAGACACAGUCACCUUGGCCGCCACAAUGACCGCUACUCCUAACCUAGCCAAUCUGCAGCCUGAAGCUCAAUGGUUCAGAGACGAUCAUCGGCUGUCAGACUCCAAGUGGGUGAAGAUAGAGUCUGCUAGAGGCAAGACCAAGCUGACCCUGCCUCACCUGAACAAGGAUGAUGAGGGUGUCUACUCACUCCGUAUGGUUACAAAGGGGGGAGAUGCAGUCCACAGUGCAUUUAUUUCCUGUGCAGAUGGUCCUCCCCCAGUGCCUGGAGCUCCAGGUGCCCCUAUGGACAUCAAGAUCCAUGACGCCAACAGAGAUUAUGUCAUCGUGUCCUGGAAGCCUCCCAACACCACCACUGAAGGCCCCAUCAUCGGAUACUUUGUAGAUAGAUGUGAAACUGGAACUGAAAAUUGGGUGCAGUGCAAUGACUCCCCCAUUAAGAUCUGUAAAUAUCCUGUGCCUGGCCUGGUCGAGGGCCACUCCUACUAUUUCCGUGUGCGGGCAAUAAACUCACACGGCAUCAGCAAGCCCUCCAGAAUAUCUGACCCCAUCGCCGCCCUGGACCCCACUGAAUUUGAAAGACUCCAUGCCAUCAAGUUGGGUGGAAAACUUGACGUUGUAAUUUACCACGAUGACGUUGAAGAUGGGAAGAAAGUACCAGGAACCCCCUCCAAGUUGCACGCUUCAGAGACCGACCGAACAUAUGUUGUCCUCAGCUGGAAACCUGCUCCUUAUCAGAGCCAGGCCCCAGUGUGGUACUAUAUUGAGAAGUGCUUGGCCGAGAGCGGUGCGUGGCAGAGGGUAAACACUCAGGUACCCGUGAGAUCUCCUCGCUAUGCCGUGUUCGAUUUGUCUGAGGGAAAACAGUACUUGUUCCGCGUGCUGGCUGCAAACAUGUACGGAAGCAGUGAAGCCUCUGAGCCCACAGAGCCCAUUCAGACUCAAGAGCUGCGCGGGGUCCCCUCCGCUCCUGGUCAGGUGGUUGCCACAAGGGAGACUGAUACAUCUCUUCUUAUCCAAUGGGCUGAACCCAAGGAGCCUAAUAAUCUUAUUGGCUACUACAUCGAUGUGUGUGUAAAAGGCUCUGGGGACUGGGGUUCAGCUAACCACAAACCUCACAAGAACAACAAGUUUGUGGUUCAAGGUUUGACCACUGGUGAGACAUAUGCUUUCCGUGUGCAAGCCAUCAAUGAGCUGGGUCUUAGUGAUGAAUCACAGGAGUCCUCCCCCCUCUCUGUCAAAGCUGCACUCACGACUCCCUCUGCUCCAUAUGACAUUGCUCUGCUGGCCUGUGACGGAGAGUCUAUGGUUCUGAACUGGAAGCACCCAGUCCACUCUGGUGGCUCUCCGGUGGUUGAAUACUACAUUGACAAACACAGGCACGGAGAACACACAUGGAGAGAGAUCAACAUCCCACCAAUCAAAGAGCGGCUGUUCAAGGUUGAACAUCUGAGUGCAGGUGCAGUCUAUGAGUUCAUGGUUUAUGGUGGAAGUCUUGCUGGUCUUGGUGCCCCCUCUGCCCCCAGCAAGGCCUUCCAUUGUGAUGCCUGGACCAUACCCGAGCCAGGUCCAGCCUAUGACAUGACUUUCUGCGAGAUCCGUGAUGACUCUGUGUUGGUGGAGUGGAAGGCUCCCGUCUACACCGGCACCAGCCCGAUCACAGGCUACUUUGUUGACUUUGCAAAGAAAGGCUCAGAUGAAUGGCACUGUUCCAACGAGAGCCACGCUGUCAGUCACCGCUACCACAAGGUGACUGGGCUGGAAGUUGGAGUGUCCUAUGUGUUCAGAGUGCGCGCGGCGAAUGCUGAAGGUGCCGGCAAGCCUUCCUUGGCUUCUAACCCUGUGGUUGCCAAAGCAGUGAAAGGUGCCCAGGAGAUGACCUGCACAGUGGACGAGGAGUCAGGUGACUUCAUCCUGUCAUUUGAAAGUUGUCAAAUUACAGAGAGCUCCCACUUUGUGUGGAAGAAAUUCUACAAGGAAAUCACUGACUUCUCCAAAGGCAUUGUCAUCAAAACAGAGGGCAAUAUCUCUAAGCUUAUUUUCAAACACCCAGACCAGGGGGAUAUGGGUUGCUUCUCCGUUGCUGUAACUAACACUGAUGGUGUUUCUUGCCAGCCAUGAAAUCCAUGCCGAAGAGCUGGAGAAAAUGCUGGCAAAGAGCUAUGGUAUUCGACACCCAGUGAUCCCUCUAAAGACUCAGCUGUCCUACAAGAUUCUGGAGCGCGGCCGCAUGCGCUUCUGGCUGCAGGCUGAGCACAUCUCCUCUGCUGUCACCUAUACGUUCUUAGCUAACAACAAUGAACUCUCACCGACUAAUCCAAAUCAUGCGAGUCAUGACGUUGAGGCUGGCAUCAUUGAGUUUGUGCUGGAUCAUUUCACAGAGGAUAGCGAGGGCACCUUUACUGUUCAGAUCGAGGAUGGCAAAGCCAGAGGACAGUCCUCUCUGGUGCUUAUCGGAGCUGAUUUCAAGGCAGCUCUCGCUGACGCAGAACACCAAAGGAGCGAGUACGUCAGAGUGAAAGACGGCCCCCACUUCAGUGAGUUUUUGUCAGUCCAUGUCGGGGAUGACUGCUCUGUGGCACUCAUCUGCAAGGUGGAUAAUCUGAAGAAGGAAACUGCGCUGCACUGGUUUAAGGAUGCCGUUGAGAUUACCCCUGAAGGGCCAGUUAAUCUGGCAUCUGGAGCCUGCAAGCUUCCUAUUUCCCUGUUCUCCAAGGCUUCCACUGGCAUUUACAAAGCUACCAUCAGCGACGACAGAGGAAAGGAUCAGUCCCAAAUUGAAAUAUCUGGCCAUGCUUUUGAUGAAAUUAUCAACAAGCUUUCUAAACUUGCUGGAUCCUCUGCAACUGAGUUGGCAAUUCACUGCACAGCAACAGGCAUUCAGCUCCAAUGCCACAUGAAAUACUACACAGAGGAGAUGAAAAUCCAUUGGCUGCACGUGGAAAGGAAACUCUCUCACUCUGAGAAGGUGCGUAUUGGAGGUACCCCAGCCAUGGCAACUAUGGAGAUCAUUGAACCCACAGACAAGGAUAAGGGUCUUUACCACAUCCAGAUAAUAGAUACGGAUAAGACCUAUACUCGCACCAUCGACCUCUCUGGACACGCCUACGAUAAAGCUUUUGCGGAAUUCACAACUCUCAAAGAGGAAGCAUAUGCUGAAGCCAACCGUGGCAAAGUGCUGGGCGGUCUGCCUGAUGUUGUUACCAUCAUGGAGAAGAAGACACUGAGUUUGACCUGCACAGUGUGCGGUGACCCCAAACCUCAAGUCACCUGGUUAAAAAAUGGUGCAGAGGUGUAUACCGAUGACCAGUACUUGGUGUCCCUCGAAUCCGGGAAGUUCGCCAGUCUCACCAUCAAGCGUGUAUCACUGGAAGACUGUGGCAGGUAUACUAUGACGGUGCAGAACAAAUAUGGAGGAGAGUCCGUGGAUAUCGUUGUGAGCGCCUACAAGCAUGGAGACACGAUUCCACAGGCCAAACCAACGCUAACACCCAAGUCCAUCAUCCCACCUAAACGUCCUAUUGAGAUCCCAGGUCCCAAGGUUGUCACCCCUGCCCCUUCCCCAGCUCCUUCCCAUGUCUCUUCUCCAGCCGGUGCCAAGUCCCCCACCUCUCCUAAGGGACUGAAGUCUCCCACCCCAGCUCGUAGCAUGAAAUCCCCUACCCCAACAAGAAGAAAGUAAACAACCGAAGCACUUCAAUUCCAAAGAGAGACAAGACAAUGAAAAGUGAUUGAUCUUUUUGCAUGAGACAUGAAAUAUAACUUUAUUUAAAGCUAGAAUCCUUUAUUGAAACAAUCACAUAGCAACACCCCGCCUCUUUUGGUAAAAAGCUAUGGGAUGGCCCUGGUUAUACAGUGUUAAAACAAGCUUUUGUGUUUUGAUAGGAUAUGACAGUUAAACUAAUAUCAUGAGGCAUUUAUAAUUUAUUUUCAUAGAGAAACAGGUAUAUAUAAUCAAUUUACAAGUCCAAAAAUGUAUGUUGCAACUAAGGAUUCCAACGUUAAGACAAGAUGGGGGGGGGGUGUCAUCAAGGUUUACUAAGCUGAAUGUCCCUUCUAAUGAACUUGUCUCUGUCUCACUUUGGGUGCUUUGGUAAAAAUUGACCAGCUUUGAUGGUUAGUUUAUUACAUCUCUGUUUUAAAAGCUGCACUUUCAAUUAGCUGGUGCAAUGUUGAGGUAUUGGCUGUCCCUACGGAUGGAUAACCCCAAAGUGCUGGACCUCCACUUAGCCCACAGCGGCAGGCGCGGCGAUUCUAGUCAUUGUCCCCAAUAAAUCACGUUACCCUUCUCGCCGCCGCAUGUCUCCGCUUGCUUUUGUGCUAAUAAAAAGGAGCAAAAAUCA
Molecule: RNA transcript, 5111 nt
Organism: Oncorhynchus gorbuscha (pink salmon)
Lineage: Eukaryota; Metazoa; Chordata; Actinopteri; Salmoniformes; Salmonidae
Gene name: myomesin-2-like
Exons: 36
Source: RefSeq, a predicted model, not a curated record